Molecule: small nucleolar RNA, 144 nt
Organism: Acomys russatus (golden spiny mouse)
Lineage: Eukaryota; Metazoa; Chordata; Mammalia; Rodentia; Muridae
Product: small nucleolar RNA SNORA48
Exons: 1
Source: RefSeq, a predicted model, not a curated record
AACCCCUGACAAUGGGCAAAGAGGCACCUUGUUGAUGGAGUUUUCCUUAUAUCAGUCAGGGGCAGAGCAGCUGUCAGGCCUAUGUUUAUUCUAGCUUGAGGCCAGGCUUGGUGACCAAAGCUGUAUUAUACCUAAGUCUCAUAC